Molecule: long non-coding RNA, 257 nt
Filed under: Helianthus annuus (common sunflower)
Lineage: Eukaryota; Viridiplantae; Streptophyta; Magnoliopsida; Asterales; Asteraceae
Description: sRNA HanXRQr2_Chr04g0149901
Source: RNAcentral
AUCAAAAACAAAUGAAGAACCGCUAUGAUUAUCUAAAAUCAAAAUUUGCUGCUUGGUCAAAGCUUAAGAACAAAACCGGCAACGUUUAUAAUCCUGUAACAAACACCUUUAACUUGUCAGAAGAAGAAUGGCAACUAGAGAUAAAGUCAAACAAAUACGUAGAAGCUUUGAGAAGCGCGCCACUUUCUUUCCCCGAGCUUUGUGUUCAACUGUUUGAGGGAUCUACUUCGAACGGCUUUGACAGUUGGGGGCCAUCU